UUGAUCACUGCUAAUUUCUUAG
Molecule: unclassified non-coding RNA, 22 nt
Filed under: Mus musculus (house mouse)
Lineage: Eukaryota; Metazoa; Chordata; Mammalia; Rodentia; Muridae
Description: oocyte_clustered_small_RNA5958
Source: RNAcentral